AGUGAACGCUGGCGGUAGGCCUAACACAUGCAAGUCGAACGGCAGCACAGUAAGAGCUUGCUAUUACGGGUGGCGAGUGGCGGACGGGUGAGGAAUACAUCGGAAUCUACUUUUUCGUGGGGGAUAACGUAGGGAAACUUACGCUAAUACCGCAUACGACCUACGGGUGAAAGCGGGGGAUCUUCGGACCUUGCGCGAUUGAAUGCGCCGAUGUGGGAUUAGCUAGUUGGGGGGGUAAAGGCCCACCAAGGCGAGGAUCCGUAGACCGACUGAGAGAAUGGUCGCCCACACUAGAGGUGGGCCACGGUCCUGAGUCCUACGAGAGGGAGCAGUGGGCAACAGUAGGCAGUGGGGGCAAGCCUGACCCAGCCAGCCGGCGUGGGUGAAGAAGGCGCUCGGGUUGGGAAGCCCUUUUGUGGGGAAAGAAAAGCAGCAGCUUAAUACGCAGCUGUUCUGACGGUAACCAAAGAAGAAGCACCGGCUAACUUCGUG
Molecule: ribosomal RNA, 492 nt
Filed under: uncultured bacterium
Lineage: Bacteria
Description: partial 16S ribosomal RNA
Rfam family: Bacterial small subunit ribosomal RNA
Source: RNAcentral